UACAUAAAUGCAUAUAUUUAUAUAUCGAUCUAAAGUAACAGGAAUACUUAAAGGAAGGCGGAAAUUUACGAAACGAGAAAACCAAAAACUCGUCAUUGGAUAUA
Molecule: long non-coding RNA, 104 nt
Organism: Octopus sinensis (East Asian common octopus)
Lineage: Eukaryota; Metazoa; Mollusca; Cephalopoda; Octopoda; Octopodidae
Exons: 3
Source: RefSeq, a predicted model, not a curated record